RNAcentral lists this ribosomal RNA (399 nucleotides) under Cercozoa sp. RNAcentral describes it as "partial small subunit ribosomal RNA". It matches the Rfam family "Eukaryotic small subunit ribosomal RNA", at positions 582 to 975 of the family's 1831-position model. The record is from RNAcentral. Lineage: Eukaryota; Cercozoa.
AUUCCAGCUCCAGUAGCGUAUAUUAAAGUUGUUGCAGUUAAAAAGCUCGUAGUUGGAUUUCUGGUUUCACAGAACUGGCCUACUUCCUCAAGGUCGUGUGCGCCGUGUUUUGUGUACCAUCCUUCUAGAAAUUGUGUUCCAUCCCUUCACUGGGAUAGAUCCGAGAUCUAGAUCUUUUACUUUGAAGAAAUUAGAGUGUUCAAAGCAGGCUCGCGCUGUGAAUACAUUAGCAUGGAAUAAUAAUUUAGGACUUGGUAUCCUAUUUUGUUGGUUUUCAGGGUCUAAGUAAUGAUUGAUAGGGAUAGUUGGGGGUGCUAGUAUUGGCCGGCCAGAGGUGAAAUUCUUGGAUUCGGUCAAGACUAACUUAUGCGAAAGCAUUCACCAAGGAUGUCUUCAUCA